RNAcentral lists this ribosomal RNA (350 nucleotides) under uncultured Pseudoxanthomonas sp. RNAcentral's name for it is "bacterial SSU rRNA". It matches the Rfam family "Bacterial small subunit ribosomal RNA", at positions 790 to 1138 of the family's 1533-position model. The record is from RNAcentral. Lineage: Bacteria; Pseudomonadati; Pseudomonadota; Gammaproteobacteria; Lysobacterales; Lysobacteraceae.
GUAGUCCACGCCCUAAACGAUGCGAACUGGAUGUUGGGUUCAACUUGGAACCCAGUAUCGAAGCUAACGCGUUAAGUUCGCCGCCUGGGGAGUACGGUCGCAAGACUGAAACUCAAAGGAAUUGACGGGGGCCCGCACAAGCGGUGGAGUAUGUGGUUUAAUUCGAUGCAACGCGAAGAACCUUACCUGGUCUUGACAUCCACGGAACUUUCCAGAGAUGGAUUGGUGCCUUCGGGAACCGUGAGACAGGUGCUGCAUGGCUGUCGUCAGCUCGUGUCGUGAGAUGUUGGGUUAAGUCCCGCAACGAGCGCAACCCUUGUCCUUAGUUGCCAGCACGUAAUGGUGGGAAC